Molecule: ribosomal RNA, 497 nt
Filed under: uncultured bacterium
Lineage: Bacteria
Description: partial 16S ribosomal RNA
Rfam family: Bacterial small subunit ribosomal RNA
Source: RNAcentral
GAUGAACGCUGGCGGCGUGCCUAAUACAUGCAAGUCGAGCGAACAGACGAGGAGCUUGCUCCUCUGACGUUAGCGGCGGACGGGUGCGUAACACGUGGAUAACCUACCUAUAAGACUGGGAUAACUUCGGGAAACCGGAGCUAAUACCGGAUAACAUGUUGAACCGCAUGGUUUAACAGUGAAAGACGGUCUUGCUGUCACUUAUAGAUGGAUCCGCGCCGCAUUAGCUAGUUGGUAAGGUAACGGCUUACCAAGGCAACGAUGCGUAGCCGACCUGAGAGGGUGAUCGGCCACACUGGAACUGAGACACGGUCCAGACUCCUACGGGAGGCAGCAGUAGGGAAUCUUCCGCAAUGGGCGAAAGCCUGACGGAGCAACGCCGCGUGAGUGAAGAAGGUCUUCGGAUCGUAAAACUCUGUUAUUAGGGAAGAACAAAUGUGUAAGUAACUAUGCACGUCUUGACGGUACCUAAUCAGAAAGCCACGGCUAACUACGUG